AGAAUCAACGCUGGCGGCGUGCCUAACACAUGCAAGUCGAACGAGAAAGUGGAGCAAUCCAUGAGUACAGUGGCGUACGGGUGAGUAACACGUGACUAACCUACCCUCGAGUGGGGAAUAACCUAGGGAAACCUGGGCUAAUACCGCAUAACAUCUUCGGAUCAAAUGCGUAAGCAGCUUGAGGAGGGGGUCGCGGCCGAUUAGCUAGUUGGCGGGGUAAUGGCCCACCAAGGCAAUGAUCGGUAGCCGGCCUGAGAGGGCGCACGGCCACACUGGAACUGAAACGCGGUCCAGACUCCUACGGGAGGCAGCAGUGGGGAAUUUUGCGCAAUGGGGGAAACCCUGACGCAGCAACGCCGCGUGGAGGAUGAAGCCCCUUGGGGCGUAAACUCCUUUCGACCAAGACGAUAAUGACGGUACUGGUGGAAGAAGCACCGGCUAACUCUGUGCCAGCAGCCGCGGUAAUACGGAGGGUGCAGGCGUUGUUCGGAAUUAUUGGGCGUAAAGGGCGCGUGGGCGGCGCGGUAAGUCACCUGUGAAAUCUCCAAGCUUAACUUGGAGCCUGCAGGCGAAACUGCCGUGCUGGAGUAUGGGAGAGGUGCGUGGAAUUCCCGGUGUAGCGGUGAAAUGCGUAGAUAUCGGGAGAACACCUGUGGCGAAAGCGGCGCACUGGACCAUAACUGACGCUGAGGCGCGAAAGCUAGGGGAGCAACAGGAUUAGAUACCCUGGUAGUCCACGCCCUAAACGAUGCAUACUUGGUGUGAGCGAUUCAUUUCGUUCGUGCCGGAGCUAACGCGUUAAGUAUGCCGCCUGGGGAGUACGGUCGCAAGGCUGAA
Molecule: ribosomal RNA, 837 nt
Filed under: uncultured bacterium
Lineage: Bacteria
Description: bacterial SSU rRNA
Rfam family: Bacterial small subunit ribosomal RNA
Source: RNAcentral